Molecule: ribosomal RNA, 484 nt
Filed under: uncultured bacterium
Lineage: Bacteria
Description: bacterial SSU rRNA
Rfam family: Bacterial small subunit ribosomal RNA
Source: RNAcentral
AAUCAACGCUGGCGGCGUGCCUCAGACAUGCAAGUAGAACGAUUAAGACUCUCUUCGGAGAGUGUAUAAAGUGGCGCACGGGUGAGUAACACGUAGGUAAUGUACCGAAGGGUGGGGAAUAACUUAGGGAAACUUAAGCUAAUACCGCAUAAUGCAGCGGCUCGACAUCGAGACAGUUGUUAAAGGAGCAAUCCGCCUUUUGAGCAGCCUGCGGCAGAUUAGCUAGUUGGUAAGGUAAUGGCUUACCAAGGCUACGAUCUGUAACCGACCUGAGAGGGUGGUCGGUCACACUGACACUGAAUAACGGGUCAGACUCCUACGGGAGGCAGCAGUCGGGAAUUUUGGGCAAUGGGCGAAAGCCUGACCCAGCAACGCCGCGUGAAGGAUGAAGUAUUUCGGUAUGUAAACUUCGUAAGAAUAGGAAGAAUAAAUGACGGUACUAUUUGUAAGGUCCGGCUAACUACGUGCCAGCAGCCGCGGUAAU